CAGUUAUUCAGCAGGAAUAUAUUAAGAUACACUUAAGAUUCUCUGCCAGGCGGUAUGUUUGGUGCUAUGGAAAUAGCCACAGGCUUGGAUUCACCUUCGUCUCUAACAACCGCGUGAGGAAAAUAGUCUCAUAAAAAAUAAUAUACAGACCAUCAGUAACAAAGCAAUCAUCUGAAACAAGGACAGAUAGGGUGGCGAAUACUAUAAAAUGGAUUUUAGUGUGAUGACAUAGGAACUGAGGUGUCUCAGCCUAAUGGAUUCUCAAAUAAUUAUUGUAACGGUGGUAUGAGACAAAGCUUUGAAGAACAGAAGAUAGCCAUAUGUCCUCCAACAUAUGACCAUGUAGUUUUGGGAGUAUAUAAUCUCCAGCCUGAGGAGCAGAGUAUGUUUGAAAUGAAGACCCAAUCAAAGUUUUAAUCAGAAGAAGACUUGAAGCUUUCACUUCCAGCUCCACCCUGCAAAACUCCAGAGCCUUCUUCUCCAACAAACCACCCAGGCACUGGGGCCUUCUGCAUACUCGCCCACUACUUUUUGGUGCCUACCGGAGAUCAGAGAGGCAGCGUAUUGUGAUGGGCACGGCUCUGGUUUUGGAGUACUGAACCCAAGAUCAUGCAGCCCCAUCAUCACGGACUGGAGUGUUAUCUGCCUUGGACGCAUAGCUACAGAAGUCUAGAGAGCACUGGAAUGGUAACUAAAGAGGUGAAGCCUGAGUCCAGCGGGCAGCUCACGAAGCCCGGAAUAUCCUCUUUCCUGGCACUAUCCUGCACCGCCUGACUCAUGGUGUGAGAUAGUGACUGUACAACUACAUUCAAUGAAGACUGGAAGUCUAACUGGGUAGAGGCAACAACCCAACAGGAGACAAUUACACAAUCGAUGAAGAAGAUGCGGAGAUAAAGUGCUACUCUACUCUCCACUAUUAUUUGCCAAGAAAGCUGAGAGUAUGGCAUGAGCAGAAAAUUAUGUUCUUUGUUCUUAAAUAAAUCCCAAUAGAAAUGAGGUUAUGAACAAACAAGCAGUAGAAUGAGAUGAACAUCUAGGUUAGAUAAAAAUAUGUGUGCAUAAGGAAAAGAACAGCAAUAACAAGAAAGAAGAGAGAGCCUUCUCUUUUACUUCAAUAAGACAGGAAACAGCAUCUUUUAUUUUCCUUGCUGCAGGGGCUCAUUCAUUUUCAUAAAGCACAGUUUCUGCAAUAUGAUGUAUUGAUAAGGUUGCUUCAUCAUGGGAGGACAAACAUGAGGCUGACUAUCAAUGCCAGAACUAGGUCUUCUCUCAAAGCCUCUAAUGAGUGCCGUUUCUCAUAAGGAACCCCUGACACCAUACGACACUUCAGUUAAAUCUUCUGAAAUAUUGCAAGGGCAUGAUUGACAAGGUUUUUUUGGUGCUAUGACUUUCUUGCACAUGUAAACUCUU
RNAcentral lists this long non-coding RNA (1410 nucleotides) under Rhinopithecus bieti (black snub-nosed monkey). RNAcentral's name for it is "lncRNA (ENSRBIG00000046084.1)". Lineage: Eukaryota; Metazoa; Chordata; Mammalia; Primates; Cercopithecidae. The record is from RNAcentral.